AGAGUUUGAUCCUGGCUCAGGAUGAACGCUAGCUACAGGCUUAACACAUGCAAGUCGAGGGGCAUCAGGACGAUAGCUUGCUAUUGUUGCUGGCGACCGGCGCACGGGUGAGUAACGCGUAUCCAACCUGGCCCUUAGUAGGGGAUAGCCCGGCGAAAGUCGGAUUAAUACCCUAUGUUUUCCUUUGAUGGCAUCUGAUUUGGAACAAAGAUUAAUCGCUAAGGGAUGGGGAUGCGUCUGAUUAGGUAGUAGGCGGGGUAACGGCCCACCUAGCCAACGAUCAGUAGGGGUUCUGAGAGGAAGGUCCCCCACAUUGGUACUGAGACAUGGACCAAACUCCUACGGGAGGCAGCAGUGAGGAAUAUUGGUCAAUGGACGAGAGUCUGAACCAGCCAAGUAGCGUGCAGGAAGACUGCCCUAUGGGUUGUAAACUGCUUUUAUGCGGGAAUAAAGUUCGGCACGUGUGCCGUUUUGUAUGUACCGCAUGAAUAAGGACCGGCUAAUUCCGUGCCAGCAGCCGCGGUAAUACGGAAGGUCCGGGCGUUAUCCGGAUUUAUUGGGUUUAAAGGGAGCGCAGGCCGAAGGUUAAGCGUGACGUGAAAUGUACCGGCUCAACCGGUGACUUGCGUCGCGAACUGGCUUUCUUGAGUGAGUACGACGUCAGCGGAAUUCGUGGUGUAGCGGUGAAAUGCUUAGAUAUCACGAAGAACCCCGAUUGCGAAGGCAGCUGACGAGUCCUUAACUGACGCUAAUGCUCGAAAGUGCGGGUAUCGAACAGGAUUAGAUACCCUGGUAGUCCGCACGGUAAACGAUGGAUGCCCGCUGUUGGCGAUAUACUGUCAGCGGCCAAGCGAAAGCGUUAANCAUCCCACCUGNGGAGUACGCCGGCAACGGUGAAACUCAAAGGAAUUGACGGGGGCCGCACAAGCGGAGGAACAUGUGGUUUAAUUCGAUGAUACGCGAGGAACCUUACCCGGGCUCGAACGGCUGGUGAACAAUCCAGAGAUGGUGCGGUCUUCGGACACCAGUCGAGGUGCUGCAUGGUUGUCGUCAGCUSUGCCG
RNAcentral lists this ribosomal RNA (1062 nucleotides) under unidentified rumen bacterium JW2. RNAcentral describes it as "bacterial SSU rRNA". It matches the Rfam family "Bacterial small subunit ribosomal RNA", at positions 8 to 1067 of the family's 1533-position model. The record is from RNAcentral. Lineage: Bacteria; Pseudomonadati; Bacteroidota; Bacteroidia; Bacteroidales; Bacteroidaceae.